UAGGCAUUAGCCGCCAACUCCUCCACUCCUCCGUCUAUCUCUCUGUUUUACCUAUGUGUUUCUCUUUCCCCAUUUCAUAAAUUACUAGUUUAAGAAAUUGUCAUUGUUCCAUUUCGAUUUCCACGCCAAUACUCCUCACACAUGAUUCUCAUUUCUCAGCAGAUUAAAUCAUUGAGAAAUGGAGAUCUGAUUGAAUUUUGGUUAUUUUUAUGUUCUCUUUAAUCGUCAGACUCGCCGCCGUCAUGAUUGCCGCUCCACCAUCAUAUCUCCGACUCCUGUCUUGUUGCUGCCCCAACUAACACCGUUUUUAAGGUUUAAGGUUUAAGUCUAAUGCAGAGCAGCGAGAUAAAGUUCAUAGUUCAUCGUUUUUUUUCCAGUUGCAGUCAAGUGAAAGAGCUAGGAAAUAUUUGAAGAGGCGAAGAACUUAUAAAGAAUUAUAGUAUGGGAAGUGGGAACAUCAAUUUAUUCAUUUUUUGUUUUUAAUUUCAGUUGUAAAUUAGAGUUACUUCGUAAUAUGUAUGUUUGUGUAUUUGAACUUUAUUGUAAUAUUAACACAUAUAUACAAGAAGUUUUUGGAAA
Molecule: long non-coding RNA, 579 nt
Organism: Spinacia oleracea (spinach)
Lineage: Eukaryota; Viridiplantae; Streptophyta; Magnoliopsida; Caryophyllales; Amaranthaceae
Exons: 3
Source: RefSeq, a predicted model, not a curated record